This 783-nucleotide ribosomal RNA is filed under the name uncultured bacterium. RNAcentral's name for it is "bacterial SSU rRNA". It matches the Rfam family "Bacterial small subunit ribosomal RNA", at positions 8 to 794 of the family's 1533-position model. The record is from RNAcentral.
AGAGUUUGAUCAUGGCUCAGGAUGAACGCUAGCGGGAGGCCUAAUACAUGCAAGUUGAGCGGUAAGGUUCUUCGGAACCCUAGAGCGGCGCACGGGUGAGUAACGCGUACAUGACCUACCUUUAAGACUGGGAUAGCCCUGGGAAACUGGGAUUAAUACCGGAUGUGAUAAUAUGUAUAGAGAUGUAUUAUUAAAGUUGAGGCGCUUAGAGAUGGGUGUGCGUCUGAUUAGCUGGUUGGUAGGGUAACGGCCUACCAAGGCGACGAUCAGUAGGGGGCGUGAGAGCGUGGCCCCCCACACGGGUACUGAGACACGGACCCGACUCCUACGGGAGGCAGCAGUAAGGAAUAUUGGUCAAUGGACGGAAGUCUGAACCAGCCAUCCCGCGUGCAGGAAGAAGGUCCUAUGGAUUGUAAACUGCUUUUAGCAGAGACGAAGACCUUUCACUUAUGAGAGAGUGACGGUAUCUGCGGAAUAAGCACCGGCUAACUCCGUGCCAGCAGCCGCGGUAAUACGGAGGGUGCAAGCGUUAUCCGGAAUCACUGGGUUUAAAGGGUGCGUAGGCGGGGGAUUAAGUCAGUGGUGAAAGCCUGUAGCUUAACUACAGAAUUGCCAUUGAUACUGAUUUUCUUGAAUUGGGUUGAGGUUAGCGGAAUGUGACAUGUAACGGUGAAAUGUUUAGAUAUGUCAUGGAACACCGAUUGCGAAGGCAGCUAGCUGGGCCUUGAUUGACGCUGAGGCACGAAAGCGUGGGUAGCGAACAGGAUUAGAUACCCCGGUAGU